Molecule: ribosomal RNA, 253 nt
Filed under: uncultured bacterium
Lineage: Bacteria
Description: partial 16S ribosomal RNA
Rfam family: Bacterial small subunit ribosomal RNA
Source: RNAcentral
UACAGAGGUCUCAAGCGUUGUUCGGAUUCAUUGGGCGUAAAGGGCGCGUAGGUGGUUCUGUAUGUCUACCGUGAAAGCGUACGGCUCAACUGUAUUUUGUCGGUAGAAACUGCAGGACUUGAGGCUGGGAGGGGCUGGUGGAAUUCCCUGUGUAGCGGUGAAAUGCGUAGAGAUGGGGGAGAACACUCGUGGCGAAGGCGGCCAGCUAGACCAGUUCUGACACUGAGGCGCGACAGCGUGGGGAGCAAACAGG